CGGAGGGUGCAAGCGUUAUCCGGAUUUACUGGGUUUAAAGGGUGCGUAGGCGGGUCUUUAAGUCAGUGGUGAAAACUCCGAGCUCAACUCGGAAACUGCCAUUGAUACUAUUGAUCUUGAAUUUAGUUGAGGUUGGCGGAAUGUGUCGUGUAGCGGUGAAAUGCUUAGAUAUGACACAGAACACCGAUUGCGAAGGCAGCUGGCUAAACUAAAAUUGACGCUGAGGCACGAAAGUGUGGGGAUCAAACAGGAUUAGAAACCCUGGUAGUCCACACCCUAAACGAUGAUUACUCGAUGUUGGCGAUACACUGCCAGCGUCUAAGCAAAAGCAUUAAGUAAUCCACCUGGGGAAUACGAUCGUAAGAUUG
Molecule: ribosomal RNA, 368 nt
Filed under: uncultured organism
Description: bacterial SSU rRNA
Rfam family: Bacterial small subunit ribosomal RNA
Source: RNAcentral